GCCGAGGUGAUGGAAUGGCAGACAUGAUAGACUCAAAAUCUAUUGAUCGCAAGAUCAUGAGGGUUCGACUCCCUCCCUCGGCACAA
RNAcentral lists this transfer RNA (86 nucleotides) under Candidatus Daviesbacteria bacterium RIFCSPHIGHO2_01_FULL_40_24. RNAcentral describes it as "tRNA-Leu". It matches the Rfam family "tRNA". From Rfam's summary of the family: Transfer RNA (tRNA) molecules are approximately 80 nucleotides in length. Their secondary structure includes four short double-helical elements and three loops (D, anti-codon, and T loops). Further hydrogen bonds mediate the characteristic L-shaped molecular structure. tRNAs have two regions of fundamental functional importance: the anti-codon, which is responsible for specific mRNA codon recognition, and the 3' end, to which the tRNAs corresponding amino acid is attached (by aminoacyl-tRNA synthetases). tRNAs cope with the degeneracy of the genetic code in two manners: having more than one tRNA (with a specific anti-codon) for a particular amino acid; and 'wobble' base-pairing, i.e. permitting non-standard base-pairing at the 3rd anti-codon position. Lineage: Bacteria; Candidatus Daviesiibacteriota. RNAcentral also lists the same sequence under 4 other names. The record is from RNAcentral.